Molecule: ribosomal RNA, 449 nt
Filed under: uncultured cyanobacterium
Lineage: Bacteria; Bacillati; Cyanobacteriota
Description: bacterial SSU rRNA
Rfam family: Bacterial small subunit ribosomal RNA
Source: RNAcentral
GAUGAACGCUGGCGGCGUGCUUAACACAUGCAAGUCGAACGAACCUUCGGGUUAGUGGCGGACGGGUGAGUAACGCGUGAGAAUCUGCCCUCAGGAGGGGGAUAACGGUUGGAAACGACCGCUAAUACCCCAUAUGCCUAUUGGUGAAAUGAAUUUCGCCUGAGGAUGAGCUCGCGUCUGAUUAGCUAGUUGGUGAGGUAAUGGCUCACCAAGGCUUCGAUCAGUAGCUGGUCUGAGAGGAUGAUCAGCCACACUGGGACUGAGACACGGCCCAGACUCCUACGGGAGGCAGCAGUGGGGAAUUUUCCGCAAUGGGCGAAAGCCUGACGGAGCAACGCCGCGUGAGGGACGAAGGCCUCUGGGCUGUAAACCUCUUUCUCAAGGAAGAAGAUAUGACGGUACUUGAGGAAUAAAGCCACGGCUAAUUCCGUGCCAGCAGCCGCUGUAAU